CACGUAGGGCGCAAGCGUUGUCCGGAAUUAUUGGGCGUAAAGAGCUCGUAGGCGGUCUGUUGCGUCUGCUGUGAAAACUCGGGGCUUAACCCCGAGCCUGCAGUGGAUACGGGCAGACUAGAGGUAGGUAGGGGGGAAUGGAAUUCCCGGUGUAGCGGUGAAAUGCGCAGAUAUCGGGAGGAACACCGGUGGCGAAGGCGGUUCUCUGGGCCUUACCUGACGCUGAGGAGCGAAAGCGUGGGGAGCGAGCAGG
This 253-nucleotide ribosomal RNA is filed under the name uncultured bacterium. RNAcentral describes it as "partial 16S ribosomal RNA". It matches the Rfam family "Bacterial small subunit ribosomal RNA", at positions 524 to 776 of the family's 1533-position model. The record is from RNAcentral.